CAGUAGCCGCGGGAAUACCGAGGGUGCAAGCGUUAAUCGGAAUUACUGGGCGUAAAGCGCGCGUAGGUGGUUCGCCAAGUUGGAUGUGAAAUCCCCGGGCUCAACCUGGGAACUGCAUCCAAAACUGGCGAGCUAGAGUAUGGUAGAGGGUGGUGGAAUUUCCUGUGUAGCGGUGAAAUGCGUAGAUAUAGGAAGGAACAUCAGUGGCGAAGGCGACCACCUGGACUGAUACUGACACUGAGGUGCGAAAGCGUGGGGAGCAAACAGGAUUAGAUACCCCAGUAGUCCCUGUCUCUUAUAC
Molecule: ribosomal RNA, 301 nt
Filed under: uncultured bacterium
Lineage: Bacteria
Description: partial 16S ribosomal RNA
Rfam family: Bacterial small subunit ribosomal RNA
Source: RNAcentral